GACGAACGCUGGCGGCGUGCCUAAUACAUGCAAGUCGAGCGGAUUGAUGGGAGCUUGCUCCCUGAUAUCAGCGGCGGACGGGUGAGUAACACGUGGGCAACCUGCCUAUAAGACUGGGAUAACUUCGGGAAACCGGAGCUAAUACCGGAUAAUCACUUUCCUCUCAUGAGGAAAGGCUGAAAGAUGGUUUACGCUAUCACUUAUAGAUGGGCCCGCGGCGCAUUAGCUAGUUGGUGAGGUAACGGCUCACAAAGGCAACGAUGCGUAACCGACCGGAGGGCGUGAUCGGCCACACGGGGAGUACGACACGGCCCAGACUCCUACGGGAGGCAGCAGUAGGGAAUCUUCCGCAAUGGACGAAAGUCGGACGGAGCAACGCCGCGUGAGUGAUGAAGGUUUUCGGAUCGUAAAACUCUGUUGUUAGGGAAGAACAAGUACGAGAGUAACUGCUCGUACCUUGACGGUACCUAACCAGAAAGCCACGGCUAACUACGUGCCAGCCGCCGCCGUAA
Molecule: ribosomal RNA, 512 nt
Filed under: uncultured bacterium
Lineage: Bacteria
Description: partial 16S ribosomal RNA
Rfam family: Bacterial small subunit ribosomal RNA
Source: RNAcentral